RNAcentral lists this long non-coding RNA (1934 nucleotides) under Homo sapiens (human). RNAcentral describes it as "HSALNT0265347". Lineage: Eukaryota; Metazoa; Chordata; Mammalia; Primates; Hominidae. The record is from RNAcentral.
CAUCUUGUGAGCAUCUGGGCCAAGUUCAGGGCUGGUGCUCUCGUUCAGAUAGAUUUAGCUGGUGGUGCAGAGAUCCGUGAGCUUGCUUUUACAGGACUUUAAUGAUAUAUAAAAGCAGCACGAGGUGCUCCUGACUGUGGAUUAAUUUGGAGAUGACUUUCUCUGUUGAAGAGUAGCAAGACUCUCGCGAGUUCUUAAAAAUGCACUUGUUUGGUAUGAGAAUGAAAAGCAGUGGCUGAAGAACCAAUCUUCAAUGGGCAAGCCUUCUCUGGGUCUUGCUCCGUCACCGAGUCUGGAGUGCAGUGGUAUGAUUAUGGCUUACUUGAACUUCUGGGCUCAAGCAAUCCUCCCACCUCAGCCUCCAGAAUAGCUGGGACUAUAAGUGUGGAUCAUCAACCCUGGCUAAUUUUUUGAUUUUUUAUAGAGACGAGGUCUCACCAUGUUGCCCAGACAAGUCUUUAACUCCUGGGCUCAAGCAAUCCUCCCACCUCAGCCUCCUAAAGUGCCGGGAUUACAGGCAUGAGCCACUGUGCCUGACUUCCAGAUUUGCAUCUUAAAGGGCUGUUCCAUUGAAUGUCUGUUCUAACACGUGCCAUUUGGGAUCCCUUGGAAUCUUCAUGUACAGAACUGGUUGCUGCCUCGUUGAGUCGGUGGGGACAGAAUAGCUCCUGGUUGACAGCAUGGGUUGUGCAGAAGGACGGAUCCUGCAGACAUCAAUAUCUGGCUUUGAGUGGCACAAAGAAAUAAAGGAAUGUGGAUUCAGACCUCACUGGGAUGCUUGGCAAUUCUAAUUCUACCCCAGACUGCAAAUGGACACACAACUGUUGUGACUUUUGUUGAAGAGGAGAAGGAUGGUGAAGGUCUCUUUAGUCAAUAAUCUCUUUGCUGAAAUUGCUUCGGGCAGCACAGAAGCUGGAUUCAGAAGCACACAGGUCUGGGGAUGCAGGCUUCGGCCAGCCUGAUGCAAGGAAAGACUGCCAUCUCGUGGUCAGCUCAAUCCUGGCACCUUGGUGAGGGACCAGGCUGCAGAAAACCAGGCUUGGGGAGGAAACGGUGCUGCAAACUGGAUUUCUGCCGGACAGUGUGGAUGCCCUUAGAAAACACCCAGAAAAGAGCUGAGUGCCCCCCAAGGCUGUUUCCCAUAUAAGGUUCAUGACCCCCAGUGAGGAUGAAACUGCCUGCAAGGUUUGUCUUCUCUCCUGUUCACUGGUUACUCAGCCAGGCUGAUUCAUGGGCUUCUCAAAGGAGCUUGUUUAUCAGAAGCUUGUCUAAGACACCACGUCUUCCAGAAAAUCUCACCUGAGUCACCAACAGAUUCCUCUAAGAGUCUGUAAGCCACUCCUGACCAGCAGGAAACCCCAACAGAGGCAAAGAAUAGGAAAUUAAAUAUUUCGUCAAGAAAAAAUGAGAGGCUGGGUGCGGUGGCUCAUGCCUAUAUCCCAGCACUUUAGGAGGCCUAAGCGGGCGGAUCAUUUGAGGUCAGGAGUUUGAGACCAGCCCGGCCAACAUGGUGAAACCCUGUCUCUACUAAAAAUACAAAAACAAUUAGCUGGGCAUGGUGGUGGGUGCUUGUAAUCCCAGCUACUGGGGGAGGCUGAGGCGGGAGAAUCGCUGAAACCCAGGAGACAGAAGUUGCUGUGAGCCGAGACCACACCACUGCACUCCAGCCUGGGUGAGAGUGAGACUGUCUCAAAAAAAAAAAAAAAAAAAAAAAAAAAGCAAGAAAGCUCCCAUUUAGAUCACUCGGACAAAAGAUUUCUUUUUGUGCCAAAAUGUUCCACUAGGCUUCCAGUUUUUACCACAUAACUUGACAGUCAUGCAAGACUUAAGUGUAUUUUCAGCUAUCCUUUCUCUUUCAUUUAUUUCUGUUUAAUAAGCUCUGUCCAUUGAUUCUAGUUAGUACAUUAUAUAUCUUUUUAAUCACUUACCUGCAG